Molecule: small nuclear RNA, 107 nt
Filed under: Propithecus coquereli (Coquerel's sifaka)
Lineage: Eukaryota; Metazoa; Chordata; Mammalia; Primates; Indriidae
Source: RNAcentral
GUGCUCACUUUGGCAGCACAUAUACUGAAAUUGGAAUGAUACAGAGAAGAUUAGCAUGCCUCCUCUGCAAGGAUGACAUGCAAAUUCGUGAAGUGUUUCAUAUUAGA